AGAGGGUAGCACGCAAUGGUGCGUAACCGGUCUUGAAAACCGGGCCAUCUUUCGGGAUGAGGGUUCGAUUCCUUUACUCUCUG
Molecule: transfer RNA, 83 nt
Filed under: Lewinella sp.
Lineage: Bacteria; Pseudomonadati; Bacteroidota; Saprospiria; Saprospirales; Lewinellaceae
Also listed under: 1 other name
Description: tRNA-OTHER
Rfam family: tRNA
About the family: Transfer RNA (tRNA) molecules are approximately 80 nucleotides in length. Their secondary structure includes four short double-helical elements and three loops (D, anti-codon, and T loops).
Source: RNAcentral